CCCUUAGAUGUUCUGGGCGGCCCGCGCACUACAUUGGCACUAGCAAAGAGAUCCUAGAUUGAAUUCUUUGGGGUAUUCUUCUAAAUGGUGUCGUGACUGGGAUAAAUCCUUGUAAUUAUUGGUUUUGAACGAGGAAUUCCUUGUAAUCGCGGUUUAUCAGCUCGCGUUGAAUGCGUCCCUGCCCUUUGUACACACCGCCUGUCGCUCCUACCGAUGGAUCGUCCGGUGAAGCUCACGGAGUGACUGUUCACGCAACGGUUUACGAAGUGAAAUGGACCUCACGAUUUAGAGGAAGGAGAAGUCGUAACA
This 309-nucleotide ribosomal RNA is filed under the name uncultured eukaryote. RNAcentral describes it as "partial 18S ribosomal RNA". It matches the Rfam family "Eukaryotic small subunit ribosomal RNA", at positions 1470 to 1796 of the family's 1831-position model. The record is from RNAcentral.